RNAcentral lists this transfer RNA (73 nucleotides) under Simkaniaceae bacterium. RNAcentral describes it as "tRNA-Met". It matches the Rfam family "tRNA". From Rfam's summary of the family: Transfer RNA (tRNA) molecules are approximately 80 nucleotides in length. The record is from RNAcentral. Lineage: Bacteria; Pseudomonadati; Chlamydiota; Chlamydiia; Parachlamydiales; Simkaniaceae.
GGCGGUAUAGCUCAGUCGGUAGAGCAACGGAAUCAUAAUCCGCAGGUCGUUGGUUCAAGUCCAGCUGCCGCUA